AGAGAGAGACAUGCGCGCAUAUCAAUAAGCGGAGGAAAAGAAACUAACAAGGAUUCCCUUAGUAACGGCGAGGUGAAGCGGGGAAGAGCUCAAAUUUGAAAUCUUCAAGGUUUUACCUUGACGAAUUGUAGUUUAAAGAAGUGUUUUCUGCUGAAGUUUUGGUAAAAGUUCUUUGGAAUAGGACAUCAUAGAGGGUGAGAAUCCCGUAUUUGACCAUUAUCUUCAGCUUUGUGAUACACUUUCAAAGAGUCGGAUUGUUUGGGAAUGCAGUCCAAAAUGGGUGGUAAAUUUCAUCUAAAGCUAAAUAUAUGGCGAGAGACCGAUAGCGAACAAGUACCGUGAGGGAAAGAUGAAAAGAACUUUGAAAAGAGAGUUAAACAGUACGUGAAAUUGUCAAAAGGGAAGCGUUUGACACCAGUGUUGUUUUCUCGAAAAUCAAUUAAAAAUGGCUCGAUUUUGUAUUGCUUGAGACCUUAAAAGCUCACUGUACAUUUUUCGUCGUCUUUUUUUAAUGCACCUUUUCGUUUAACAAGUCAACAUCAGUUUCUUUUGUUGUAAAAGGGUCAUUGGAAGGUGGCUUUCUUUUCGGAGAAAGUGUUUAUAGCCUUUGGCCUCUGCAAUCGGAGGAGACUGAGGUCUGCAGCGUAGACUCUUCGGGGUUAGAUACAUUUGUGCUAAGUUAUAGCUUUUUAUAGACAACUUGUUGACUAUAAUUAGUCUUGUAGCUUACUCGCUUAUGCUAUUUUACCUACGCUUAGGAUGUUGAAGAUGUAGCACAUCAU
Molecule: ribosomal RNA, 782 nt
Filed under: uncultured Neocallimastigales
Lineage: Eukaryota; Fungi; Neocallimastigomycota; Neocallimastigomycetes; Neocallimastigales
Description: partial large subunit ribosomal RNA
Rfam family: Eukaryotic large subunit ribosomal RNA
Source: RNAcentral